GACGAACGCUGGCGGCGUGCUUAACACAUGCAAGUCGAACGGAAAGGCCCUGCUUUUGUGGGGUGCUCGAGUGGCGAACGGGUGAGUAACACGUGAGUAACCUGCCCUUGACUUUGGGAUAACUUCAGGAAACUGGGGCUAAUACCGGAUAGGAGCUCCUGCUGCAUGGUGGGGGUUGGAAAGUUUCGGCGGUUGGGGAUGGACUCGCGGCUUAUCAGCUUGUUGGUGGGGUAGUGGCUUACCAAGGCUUUGACGGGUAGCCGGCCUGAGAGGGUGACCGGCCACAUUGGGACUGAGAUACGGCCCAGACUCCUACGGGAGGCAGCAGUGGGGAAUAUUGCACAAUGGGCGGAAGCCUGACGCAGCAACGCCGCGUGCAGGAUGACGGCCUUCGGGUUGUAAACCGCUUUCGCCUGUGACGAAGCGUGAGUGACGGUAAUGGGUAAAGAAGCACCGGCUAACUACGUG
This 468-nucleotide ribosomal RNA is filed under the name uncultured bacterium. Its description in RNAcentral is "partial 16S ribosomal RNA". It matches the Rfam family "Bacterial small subunit ribosomal RNA", at positions 28 to 507 of the family's 1533-position model. The record is from RNAcentral.